Ipomoea nil (Japanese morning glory) is the source of this 263-nucleotide long non-coding RNA. RefSeq lists it as uncharacterized. The record is from RefSeq and is a predicted model, not a curated record. NCBI's taxonomy places the organism in Eukaryota, Viridiplantae, Streptophyta, Magnoliopsida, Solanales, Convolvulaceae. The transcript is spliced from 3 exons.
CCAUAUUCUCCUGUGAUGCACUUCUGAUACACCUUGGAAAGCAUCCACGAGGAGGAACACAUGAAGAACACAGUUUCUUGAAAAUUAAGAUCUGUUGAUAUAUCAGACAUGCAUGUCCCGAUCACAAAGAUCUGUGGAAAUUCAUAACCAUAUCGACCCUGAAGGACCUAUAAAAACAGAGAAUGAGACUUCCUUGACCCCAGUUUUGCCAAUGCGAGCUCAUGUGCUUAAUUCUUCAGCGAUGAAAGGCCAGCGAAAUCAGA